UACGUAGGGUGCGAGCGUUUAAUCGGAAUUACUGGGCGUAAAGCGUGCGCAGGCGGUUUUGUAAGCCAGAUGUGAAAUCCCCGGGCUUAACCUGGGAAUGGCAUUUGGGACUGCAAGGCUCGAGUGCGGCAGAGGAGACUGGAAUUCCUGGUGUAGCAGUGAAAUGCGUAGAUAAUCAGGAGGAACACCGAUGGCGAAGGCAGGUCUCUGGGCUGACACUGACGCUCAUGCACGAAAAGCGU
This 242-nucleotide ribosomal RNA is filed under the name uncultured bacterium. Its description in RNAcentral is "partial 16S ribosomal RNA". It matches the Rfam family "Bacterial small subunit ribosomal RNA", at positions 524 to 762 of the family's 1533-position model. The record is from RNAcentral.